AUUGAACGCUGGCGGCAGGCCUAACACAUGCAAGUCGAGCGAGCGGCGGACGGGUGAGUAAUGUCUGGGAAACUGCCUGAUGGAGGGGGAUAACUACUGGAAACGGUAGCUAAUACCGCAUAACAUAAGAUGUGCCCAGAUGGAAUCAGCUAGUAGGUGGGGUAACGGCUCACCUAGGCGACGAACCCUAGCUGGUCUGCGAGGGUGACCAGCGACUCUGAAACUGAGCAAAGGUCCAGACGCCUACGGAGGACAGCAGUGGGGAAUAUUGCACCAGGGGCGCAAGCCUGAUGCAGCCAUGCCGCGUGUUCGAAGGAGUCCUUCGGGUUGGAAAGCACAUUAACCGGGGAGACGUUACGCGCAGAAGAAGCACCGGCUAACACCGUGCCAGCAGCCGCGGUAAUAC
RNAcentral lists this ribosomal RNA (406 nucleotides) under uncultured bacterium. RNAcentral describes it as "partial 16S ribosomal RNA". It matches the Rfam family "Bacterial small subunit ribosomal RNA", at positions 29 to 526 of the family's 1533-position model. The record is from RNAcentral.